GUCCCGUAUGCGAAAAACAAAGCUUAGCUAGCAGUAUCCUGAGUAGGGCGGGACACGAGGAAUCCUGUCUGAAUCCGGGUCGACCACGAUCCAACCCUAAAUACUAAUACCAGAUCGAUAGUGCACAAGUACCGUGAGGGAAAGGUGAAAAGAACUGAGGUGAUCAGAGUGAAAUAGAACCUGAAACCAUUUGCUUACAAUCAUUCAGAGCACUAUGUAGCAAUACAGUGUGAUGGACUGCCUUUUGCAUAAUGAGCCUGCGAGUUGUGGUGUCUGGCAAGGUUAAGCAAACGCGAAGCCGUAGCGAAAGCGAGUCUGAAUAGGGCGCUUAGUCAGAUGCUGCAGACCCGAAACGAAGUGAUCUAUCCAUGAGCAAGUUGAAGCUAGUGUAAGAACUAGUGGAGGACUGAACCCAUAGGCGUUGAAAAGCCCCGGGAUGACUUGUGGAUAGGGGUGAAAGGCCAAUCAAACUUCGUGAUAGCUGGUUCUCUCCGAAAUAUAUUUAGGUAUAGCGUUGUGUCGUAAUAUAAGGGGGUAGAGCACUGAAUGGGCUAGGGCAUACACCAAUGUACCAAACCCUAUCAAACUCCGAAUACCUUAUAUGUAAUCACAGCAGUCAGGCGGCGAGUGAUAAAAUCCGUCGUCGAGAGGGAAACAACCCAGACUACCAGCUAAGGUCCCUAAAUCUUACUUAAGUGGAAAACGAUGUGAAGUUACUUAAACAACCAGGAGGUUGGCUUAGAAGCAGCCAUCCUUUAAAGAAAGCGUAAUAGCUCACUGGUCUAGUGAUUUUGCGCGGAAAAUAUAACGGGGCUAAAGUAAGUACCGAAGCUGUAGACUUGCACACAACUUAGAUUAUUUAAGUUUAGAAUAUGAGAAACUAAGUUAUGUUUAGUUAUAUUUUUACUGAUUUUUAUAGAGUAAAGAUAGAAAUAAAACUUAGUAAAAUCAGUAAAAAUAUUCUUAGGCUAAAGUUAAGUAGUUUAAGUUGUGUGCAAGUGGUAGGAGAGCGUUCUAUUUGCGUCGAAGGUAUACCGGUAAGGAGUGCUGGAGCGAAUAGAAGUGAGCAUGCAGGCAUGAGUAGCGAUAAUUAAUGUGAGAAUCAUUAACGCCGUAAACCCAAGGUUUCCUACGCGAUGCUCGUCAUCGUAGGGUUAGUCGGGUCCUAAGUCGAGUCCGAAAGGGGUAGACGAUGGCAAAUUGGUUAAUAUUCCAAUACCAACAUUAGUGUGCGAUGGAAGGACGCUUAGGGCUAAGGGGGCUAGCGGAUGGAAGUGCUAGUCUAAGGUCGUAGGAGGUUAUACAGGCAAAUCCGUAUAACAAUACUCCGAGAACUGAAAGGCUUUUUGAAGUCUUCGGAUGGAUAGAAGAACCCCUGAUGCCGUCGAGCCAAGAAAAGUUUCUAAGUUUAGCUAAUGUUGCCCGUACCGUAAACCGACACAGGUGGGUGGGAUGAGUAUUCUAAGGCGCGUGGAAGAACUCUCUUUAAGGAACUCUGCAAAAUAGCACCGUAUCUUCGGUAUAAGGUGUGGUUAGCUUCGUACUAGGAUUUACUCCGAAAGCGAAGAAACUUACAACAAAGAGUCCCUCCCGACUGUUUACCAAAAACACAGCACUCUGCUAACUCGUAAGAGGAUGUAUAGGGUGUGACGCCUGCCCGGUGCUCGAAGGUUAAUUGAUGGGGUUAGCAUUAGCGAAGCUCUUGAUCGAAGCCCGAGUAAACGGCGGCCGUAACUAUAACGGUCCUAAGGUAGCGAAAUUCCUUGUCGGUUAAAUACCGACCUGCAUGAAUGGCGUAACGAGAUGGGAGCUGUCUCAAAGAGGGAUCCAGUGAAAUUGUAGUGGAGGUGAAAAUUCCUCCUACCCGCGGCAAGACGGAAAGACCCCGUGGACCUUUACUACAGCUUGACACUGCUACUUGGAUAAGAAUGUGCAGGAUAGGUGGGAGGCUUUGAGUAUAUGACGCCAGUUGUAUAUGAGCCAUUGUUGAGAUACCACUCUUUCUUAUUUGGGUAGCUAACCAGCUUGAGUUAUCCUCAAGUGGGACAAUGUCUGGUGGGUAGUUUGACUGGGGCGGUCGCCUCCCAAAUAAUAACGGAGGCUUACAAAGGUUGGCUCAGAACGGUUGGAAAUCGUUCGUAGAGUAUAAAGGUAUAAGCCAGCUUAACUGCAAGACAUACAAGUCAAGCAGAGACGAAAGUCGGUCUUAGUGAUCCGGUGGUUCUGUGUGGAAGGGCCAUCGCUCAAAGGAUAAAAGGUACCCCGGGGAUAACAGGCUGAUCUCCCCCAAGAGCUCACAUCGACGGGGAGGUUUGGCACCUCGAUGUCGGCUCAUCGCAUCCUGGGGCUGGAGCAGGUCCCAAGGGUAUGGCUGUUCGCCAUUUAAAGCGGUACGCGAGCUGGGUUCAGAACGUCGUGAGACAGUUCGGUCCCUAUCUGCCGUGGGCGUAAGAAGAUUGAAGAGAUUUGACCCUAGUACGAGAGGACCGGGUUGAACAAACCACUGGUGUAGCUGUUGUUCUGCCAAGAGCAUCGCAGCGUAGCUAAGUUUGGAAAGGAUAAACGCUGAAAGCAUCUAAGCGUGAAGCCAACUCUAAGAUGAAUCUUCUCUAAGCUCUCUAGAAGACUACUAGUUUGAUAGGCUGGGUGUGUAAUGGAUGAAAGUCCUUUAGCUGACCAGUACUAAUAGAGCGUUUGGCUUAUCUUUAAUAAAGCAU
Molecule: ribosomal RNA, 2717 nt
Filed under: Campylobacter jejuni
Lineage: Bacteria; Pseudomonadati; Campylobacterota; Epsilonproteobacteria; Campylobacterales; Campylobacteraceae
Description: partial 23S ribosomal RNA
Rfam family: Bacterial large subunit ribosomal RNA
Source: RNAcentral